UGGAGAGAGAUAGAGAGAGGGAGAGAGAGAGAGAGUUCUAUUUGGGUGCUUCUAAUAGCAUCAAGCUGUACUGGGGUGCUUAUAAUAACAUUAAGCACUUGAUGCUAUUAAGUUUUUUAACCGUUAGAUUAUUGAUUUGAUCAUUUUUAAUUCAUUAGAUCACAUAUUAUUCAAACCAAUCAUCCGUUUAAUUCUAGAGGAUCACUAUCAUCCUAACCGCAAAUUGCUUCAUCCAAGAUCGAAAAUUUAAUAAUAUUAAUGAAUUGAUAUUAUUAGAAAUAUUUCAAUAUAUAUAUAUAUAUAUAGAGUCCGGCUACUAUACUAUUGAUAGUACCAAGCUCUUGGUACUAUUGAGUUUUCUACCAUUAGAUCUACCCUUUGAUCAUUUACACCCGUUAGAUUAUACUAUUAAACCAACCAUCCACUCAACUCUAGGGGAUCACUAUCAAUUUAACCAGGAACCACUAUUAUCCUAACCGCACAUCCUUUCAUCCAACGGCCAAAAUCUCAAUAGUACCAAUGGCUUGGUACUAUUGAUAGUAUAGUAGCAUAAUUCAUAUAUAGUUGAGCUAAAAUACUAUCGGUAGUAAACGAGCCGUUUUACUAACGAUUUAUUUUCGAUGAUAGAGCUUCCAAAUUAACAAUUGGCUCCAUUAUAUAUGAUCUAAACCAUUUAAACUACCUAGAAAUUAAAUUUCACGCACUUUCGAUAUUGUUUUUUUACCCAUCAAGUGAACAGAAAAAUGAAUGGCUGAAAAUGAAUACUCUUUAAAAAAUGAUAAUAGGAGUCUUGUAAUCAAGAUCAAGAGUAUAGAUCUUGUUUUAAAUAGUUUAAAAAAUUUUCUAACAAAAAUUUAAUUGAUUUGAAUAUCUUUACGCCGUUAAACGAGAAAACGCCUCUUAUCGACCAUUAAAAUUAUAAAUUUUGAAACCCUUUGAUCAUUAGGCAAAUGAUGUCGAAAAGAUUUGAAAUUUGAUUUCUAAACACUUCAAGUGGUAUAGAUUAUGUUCAACGGAGCCGAUCGUCAAUUUGAAAGUUCUAUCAUCGAAAACAAAUCGAUAGUAAAAUUGCUCGUUUACUACCGAUAGUAUUCUAGCUCAACUCUCUCUAUAUAUAUAUAUAUAUAUAUAUAUAUAU
Molecule: long non-coding RNA, 1138 nt
Filed under: Ananas comosus (pineapple)
Lineage: Eukaryota; Viridiplantae; Streptophyta; Magnoliopsida; Poales; Bromeliaceae
Description: long non-coding RNA (ACOM_LNC012580)
Source: RNAcentral